UAUCAAAACUUUCAACAACGGAUCUCUUGGUUCUCGCAUCGAUGAAGAACGCAGCGAAUUGCGAUACGUAGUAUGACUUGCAGACGUGAAUCAUCGAAUCUUUGAACGCACAUUGCGCCUCGAGGCAUUCCUCGAGGCAUGCCUGUUUGAGCGUCGCAUCCCCUCUAACCCCCGGUUAGGCGUUGCUCCGAAAUAUCAACCGCGCUGUCAAACACGUUUACAGCACGACAUUUCGCCCUCAAAUCAGGUAGGACUACCCGCUGAACUUAAGCAUAUCAAUAAGCGGAGGAA
This 291-nucleotide unclassified non-coding RNA is filed under the name Clavispora lusitaniae. RNAcentral describes it as "sequence contains 18S rRNA gene, ITS1, 5.8S rRNA gene, ITS2, 28S rRNA gene". The stretch from base 7 to 156 matches the Rfam family "5.8S ribosomal RNA". From Rfam's summary of the family: 5.8S ribosomal RNA (5.8S rRNA) is a component of the large subunit of the eukaryotic ribosome. It is transcribed by RNA polymerase I as part of the 45S precursor that also contains 18S and 28S rRNA. The record is from RNAcentral. Lineage: Eukaryota; Fungi; Ascomycota; Pichiomycetes; Serinales; Metschnikowiaceae.